AGCUCUGUGCAGUGGCAGUAUUGUAGCCAAUGAGGCUUAUCUGGGGUGCGAUUAUUGCUAAUUGAAAACUUUUCACGAUACCCCGCCAUGAUGACUUGAAAUAUAGUCAGAGUUGGCCAUUUUUGGCAGUCUCUAUGGAGA
Small nuclear RNA from Callithrix jacchus (white-tufted-ear marmoset), 141 nucleotides. Its record names the gene U4. It matches the Rfam family "U4 spliceosomal RNA". From Rfam's summary of the family: U4 small nuclear RNA (U4 snRNA) is a component of the major U2-dependent spliceosome. The structure of U4 snRNA from yeast and human has been reported. NCBI's taxonomy places the organism in Eukaryota, Metazoa, Chordata, Mammalia, Primates, Cebidae. The record is from Ensembl.